This is a non-coding RNA of Lolium perenne, 2406 nucleotides long. NCBI's taxonomy places the organism in Eukaryota, Viridiplantae, Streptophyta, Magnoliopsida, Poales, Poaceae. The record is from RefSeq and is a predicted model, not a curated record.
AAACUGAAGUUCUUUUUUCUGGAAGUCAAAGAAGGGCUACCCUGAUCGGUGGCUAGCCCUAAGCCGCCGUGUCCUUGCUGGCUCCGUCCGUGGUGCUGCGGUGGCUGGACGCUGGACCAGCAGCACCUUUGGAAGGUUUCAGAAUCUGAGCUUUUUUUCUUGGAAUAUGUGGGCAAUCUUGGGAUGCUCAUAAUCUUCUUAUUGAUUACUGGCUGCCAACUGGAUAUCCUUAUGAUGCUCCUUGUAGGAGCUCCCUAGUUUGACUAGCAGUUUCAGUAAAGGAAGGCAGAUAUAAUGAAUGGGAGAGGGAGAUCCAGGAGCUCUGGGAGACUUUGCUGGGGCUGUAUCAGAGGUUUUAGAAGCCUGGGAGCAUAGGACCCGUCCGAUUUAGCGGCUGGUGUCCAUCCCACACCAAGAACAAAACCAACCCUAACCUAAACGCAUUUCCCCUCCCUGCUCCUCUGCUCCCACCCCUCCAAGGCGGCGCCGGCGCCUCCAUGGCCGCGACGCAGCCUAGCUCGCCGGAGCGCGCGUGCCUCGCUACCACGGUGCGCGCCGCUCCGUCCAACUAGCCUCGCCGCCAAGCGCACCACGGACCGGACGUCGGCGCCCCCCGACCGGAGAUGGAGACUGCGUCCGCCAAGUUCUUCUUCGCGCCGGCGGCCUUGAGAUCCGCACCCCCGUCCCCGGGAUGCGUCCUCGACGUCUACUCCGACCAGGCUCGCGCGGAACCAGGAACAAUCAAGUGCUGGGACUGGGAGGAGGGAGAAUUCAAAAACAACUCUUUGCUCAACAGCCGGACCUCUGCUCUGCGAUGGAGCUCCCUAGUUUGACUAGCAGUUUCAGUAAAGGAAGGCAGAUAUAAUGAAUGGGAGAGGGAGAUCCAGGAGCUCUGGGAGACUUUGCUGGGGCUGUAUCAGAGGUUUUAGAAGCCUGGGAGCAUAGGACCCGUCCGAUUUAGCGGCUGGUGUCCAUCCCACACCAAGAACAAAACCAACCCUAACCUAAACGCAUUUCCCCUCCCUGCUCCUCUGCUCCCACCCCUCCAAGGCGGCGCCGGCGCCUCCAUGGCCGCGACGCAGCCUAGCUCGCCGGAGCGCGCGUGCCUCGCUACCACGGGUGCGCGCCGCUCCGUCCAACUAGCCUCGCCGCCAAGCGCACCACGGACCGGACGUCGGCGCCCCCCGACCGGAGAUGGAGACUGCGUCCGCCAAGUUCUUCUUCGCGCCGGCGGCCUUGAGAUCCGCACCCCCGUCCCCGGGAUGCGUCCUCGACGUCUACUCCGACCAGGCUCGCGCGGAACCAGGAACAAUCAAGUGCUGGGACUGGGAGGAGGGAGAAUUCAAAAACAACUCUUUGCUCAACAGCCGGACCUCUGCUCUGCGAUGUGGGAACACCUGUAAGGUUUUAUCGCUGGCUAGAGAGAAGGACCUUCCUUUGAAGAAUGCGAGGCAUUUCAUUCUUGAUGGGUGUGACAAGAUGCUAGAGUCACUUUGAGCUCCCUAGUUUGACUAGCAGUUUCAAUAAAGUAAGCUAGAUAUAAUAAAUGGGAGAGGGAGAUCCAGGAGCUCUGGGAGACAUAGCUGGGGCUAGAUCAGAGGUUUUAGAAGCCUUGGAGCAUAGGACACUGUUGUCCCCGUUGAGAGCUUAUUCCCAUGCUCUCAUAGUUGCAUUUCGACUACUUCCUGCUUCUCAUUUGUCCUCAUUGCACUGUUUUGGAGCUCCCUAGUUUAACUAGAAGUUUCAGUGAAGGAAGCCAGAUAUAAUGAAGGGGAGAGGAAGAUCCAGUAGCUCUGGGAGACAUUGUUGGAGUUGGAUCAGAGGCAAGACUACCCUGAUCGGUGGCUAACCCUAAGCUGCCGUGACCUUUCCGGCUCUGUCCGUGGCGUUGCGCUGGCUGGACACUGGACCAACAGCAGACCUUUGGAUGGCUUAUGAUGUGUAGGUUUUAGAAGCCUCGGAGCAUAGGACACUGCUGUCCCUGUUGAGAGCUUCUUCACAUGCUUUGGUCAUUGCAUUUCGACUACUUCCUGCUUCUCCUUUGCCCUUAUUGUACUGUUUUGGGAGAAGAGAACCAGCGGGAGCGUCCUCAUGCUGCUAUUUCAUUGGUGUGUGAUGUGCAAACUAGGGGCGCAAUAUCUGCUUACGGUUACAACGUAUGAGCAGCCAAGUUUUCAGAUUUUAACGAACACUGGCAUGCGUUGUGUGUAACGGUCUCGGGAUUGAUUGCAGAAACUCGUGUGUCAGUGCAUCAGCUUGCCUUGAUGCUUGUUAUUCAGUGUCGUGUGGUUUCUUUCACUUGGGUCGUAUAUUUCAGUGCCACCUGAGUUUUGUUUUAUUUUCAUUUUCUGUAAAGUGAUUGUUGUGUGAUCUAAAUGUCAAAAAACAAGUAAGGUCUUGCCGAAA